Molecule: long non-coding RNA, 584 nt
Filed under: Homo sapiens (human)
Lineage: Eukaryota; Metazoa; Chordata; Mammalia; Primates; Hominidae
Description: non-protein coding lnc-LYPD4-2:3
Source: RNAcentral
GGGAGAUCGGAGGGGGAUGGAAGGUGGGGAAAGAAAACCCAGGUGAGAGAGGAGUGGGGAGGAAAGAGAGGAGGGGGAAGGUGAGAGAGGAGGGGGGAGGUGAGAGAGGAAGAGGGAGGUGAGAGAAGAGAGGGGAGGUGAGAGAGGAGCGGGGAGGUGAGAGAGGAGGGGGAAAUAAAGGAGAUGGAAGGAGUGGUGGAGAGGAAGGGAGGAGGAGAAGGAUUAGUGAAAAAAGGAAGGAGAGGAAGGAGCAGAGGAAAAAGGAAGGAUAAAAGGAAAGGGGGGCAAUGAGGAAGCAGGAGGGAGAUGAGAAAAGGAAAGAAGAAGGGAGAGGAAUGGCCAGACCCAGAGAGCAGCAGAGGAGCAUGGGGAGCAAGAGCCUGGGACAGGCAGGCACAGAUGGCAGCGGUGACCCUGCACCCACCCACCAGCGCCCAGUAAGCCACACCUCCCGCCCCUGCACCCCAGCCUGGGCACCUCUCGGUUUCGGCCCCCUCGUCGGUACUCUCUGGGGGCGCCAAGGACUCCAGGCUCAUUGGGCCCUGCGGGGAUGAGUCCCCCAGCUCCAGGGGGGCGUCAGCACC